RNAcentral lists this ribosomal RNA (841 nucleotides) under uncultured Staphylococcus sp. RNAcentral describes it as "bacterial SSU rRNA". It matches the Rfam family "Bacterial small subunit ribosomal RNA", at positions 69 to 896 of the family's 1533-position model. The record is from RNAcentral. Lineage: Bacteria; Bacillati; Bacillota; Bacilli; Caryophanales; Staphylococcaceae.
GACGAGAAGCUUGCUUCUCUGAUGUUAGCGGCGGACGGGUGAGUAACACGUGGAUAACCUACCUAUAAGACUGGGAUAACUUCGGGAAACCGGAGCUAAUACCGGAUAAUAUUUUGAACCGCAUGGUUCAAAAGUGAAAGACGGUCUUGCUGUCACUUAUAGAUGGAUCCGCGCCGCAUUAGCUAGUUGGUAAGGUAACGGCUUACCAAGGCAACGAUGCAUAGCCGACCUGAGAGGGUGAUCGGCCACACUGGAACUGAGACACGGUCCAGACUCCUACGGGAGGCAGCAGUAGGGAAUCUUCCGCAAUGGGCGAAAGCCUGACGGAGCAACGCCGCGUGAGUGAUGAAGGUCUUCGGAUCGUAAAACUCUGUUAUUAGGGAAGAACAUAUGUGUAAGUAACUGUGCACAUCUUGACGGUACCUAAUCAGAAAGCCACGGCUAACUACGUGCCAGCAGCCGCGGUAAUACGUAGGUGGCAAGCGUUAUCCGGAAUUAUUGGGCGUAAAGCGCGCGUAGGCGGUUUUUUAAGUCUGAUGUGAAAGCCCACGGCUCAACCGUGGAGGGUCAUUGGAAACUGGAAAACUUGAGUGCAGAAGAGGAAAGUGGAAUUCCAUGUGUAGCGGUGAAAUGCGCAGAGAUAUGGAGGAACACCAGUGGCGAAGGCGACUUUCUGGUCUGUAACUGACGCUGAUGUGCGAAAGCGUGGGGAUCAAACAGGAUUAGAUACCUGGUAGUCCACGCCGUAAACGAUGAGUGCUAAGUGUUAGGGGGUUUCCGCCCCUUAGUGCUGCAGCUAACGCAUUAAGCACUCCGCCUGGGGAGUACGACCGCAAGGUUG